UCAAGCCGUUGCAUAUUUUGUGGCUUUGGUAAUUUUGCCUAUACACAAUUAACAUUCUGAAAAUGGCAUCCUUAAAUUAUUGUAACUGUAAUACAUUUUUCUUAUAGAAAUGUACUUUCAAAUCUUAGGUAUUACAGUAUAAUAAGAUAGAUUCCAAAUCUAAAGACCUCUACAUGAAUAAAGUGGUAAGUAUGCAGUGCUCUUUCAUAGAUGAACCCAUAAAGGAGAGCUUUAGACCCAAUGGUUAUACUAAGAAAAACUAAUAAAUUCAUCAAAACCAAAUACUAGCAUGAUGAUCUCAACCUUGAAACAGGGAAAACUCAAAUGUUCGAGUCCAAAGAAAUGCAAACACUGACUUUCUCAGUUUCUUGUGGCAGUGAACUUUGUUUGAUUCUAUUCUUCAGACAACUAGACAUCCCAUGAAGAUGCCUUGCCUGUCUUCCUUUGUAAUUCUACUUGGCCUUUCUUGUUCUUUACUUUAAAAUAUUUAUAUCGUAGUGUGGUAAAAAUUAUUAUUUGUUGAGUGCCCACUAUCUUUUACCAUUGGUCUUUGAUGCUUAAUAAUUUAAUCUGCACAGUAACUCUAUGAGGGAAUUAUUGCUAGUCCUGUAUUACACACAAGAAAAUGGAGGGUUAGAGAUGUUGAAUAUCACCAAGGAGCCAAAGUUCAGAUUUUGGUUUGGAGGAAGUAAGUGCCACAAAUUAGAUUCCUGAAAGCAAACUAUUGCUGGAAAGAAAUAAACUACAAAAUAAUGUACUAGUAAGUAUUUUUAGUCUAAUUUUUGUUUCUGUUUUUUUUUGAUAUUCUAGAGAACUGUAAAUUAAAGAUGGCAAAAUAAGUCCUAAAUAGAAAUUAAACCUGCACUGAGGCUACUGUUCUUAUAUUUUCUGUUAAUGCUGAUGAAAUCUAACUUUGGAAAUAAGAGUCAGAACUGUAAAAUUACUGAAAGGUUAAAAAUCCUUUCUGGUGAUGCCAGUAGUCAUUUAAAAUAAGUAUUUCAUAUUACUUCAAUAAUGUUUUAAUGACUCUACCAUUCUAUCAUUUUGUAAAGUUUACUACCAUUUGCUUUCCAUUAGAAAAUCACUUUAAAUUAAGGGCCCUGUUAAGAUGGAAAGUCCAUAGGCUGUAAGAAGUUAAUAAAUGAGAGAAUAUUCUUUUGAAUUUCACCAAGGAUCUGUAUGUGUUGAUUAAAGUAUAAACUCUCAACUUAAAAAUUGUUUUUCUAUCCUCUUCCAUAGCACAGCUAUUACCAGAGUAGAGAACAUACUCUUUUAGCAUCUUCCAAGGCACUUAUGUCUCCUGAAGUGUGUCCAGUAAUAGAAGGUAUUUUACUUCUACUUGAAGUUAGAGCAAAAGCUGCUCAAGCCAAGAUGAAUUAAGCUACCUGCCAGCCAUAUUCAAAGGAAACAGAGAGGCAACAAGCCUCUGUGGUAAAGUUCAGGUGAACUCCCGCUGCCUGGAACAUGGUAGCUUAUAAACUGUUGUGUUAAGUGUUAAAUUUCUACCCUAUUACUCCAAACAAAUGGCAUUAUUGCCAAAAGAAGGCCCAGAAUGCCAAAAUAAAGUGGUGCAGUGGAAAAUUCAACAAGUAAUGAGUGUUAAGAUUAAUCAUCAAGGAAAUGAAUAGCCUUGGCUUUACGCUUGGGAGUUUAAGAAGACAGACAGCAUUUUUGAGGCACAGCAUUUUGAGCAGACAGCACAUUGCCCUUUCUUUGUAGGAGUAUUGUGAAAUAGAAAGAAAACUAGAUUGUAGUGCAAAGAUCUGAGCUUUAAAAGGGAAGAGUGAGUCUCUCACGUUUGAUCUCAUUAAAUCCUCACAACACGGGCUCAAAGAUGUUAAAAGAUUUGUCCUAGGUCAGAGCUAGAAAGCAACAGAAAUAGAACUUAGCUAUAGGUUCAUCUAACCCUGGAGCUGGUCUUCUGGUCACCCUUACUAUUUAAAGAAGAUUAUAAUCAUGUUCAAUACAAUCACUUUUCUUGAGGUGUCAUCUUAGUAUCACCUGCUUCAGAAUCAUUUGGAAAUCCCCAUCCUGUUCCAGGCCUGGCAAUCUAGCCAGUCCAUAGAUGUGCAUUAUUACACACAUUAAAAUUUGACAGCUGCUGCUCAAAAAGAGGUUAUGGAAGACUGUGGAAAAGCACACAUCAAAAACAGUACUCUCACAAUUUCAUAUUUUAAAGUUAUUCAAAAUUAAGUUUAACACAGGUAUUCUCUGAGAACAAGAAGCUAUUUGAAAAUAAAGAAUACAACUCUGUAAGGGAGGCCUGACAAAAUAUUUGAUCUUCACUGGAAAAUAAAGCAGGCUGGCCAAAAGUAGGACAAAUAAUUUCUUGCUCCAGGUCAACACAAUUCUUGUAUUUUAUUCUAGAGCCUGAAAGACUGUCAAAAGCAAUCACAUUUUUCACACUUUGGGGUGUAUAUACCUAUUUGGAUUUUGUUUCAUAGCUGGCUGAUAACAAGGAAAAGCAAAUGAAAUCAUGGAAUGAAGGAAAUCAUCCAGGCUUUUGAGAACUACAUUCCUCGGAUUAUUUACUGAGUACAUGGCCCUGGACUGAUUAAACGUUUGUGGUCCAAAGUUUUAUAUCUUUAAAAUUAAAUGGUAAUGAUAAUAAUCUUAAGACUACUUUGUUUUGUUGCCAUGAGGGUAUAUAUAAGACAUGUGAAGCAUAUAACACAUCCUGAUACAAAGAAAAUAGUGAAUUGAUGGUAACCUAUAUUAUUAUUAUUAUAAGUGUCAUUCAUUAGAGAUAGAACAUAGAAUAGAAAUGUGUUCAUUGCAUGUGUGAUAUUUAAGGGAAUCUGCUUUGUAAGCCAUUAAGUAGAGAUAUAUAUCUCUUCUUGAGCAUUCUUCAGAGGAAGCGAAUACAUUCUAUAAAUAAUUCUAUUCUUCAUAUGUCUUGAAACAUUACUAAGCGUUUUGAAAUAGUAACUUAAUAUUAUUGACUUUUUUCUUAGAUUUUAGUUAAGAACUACUUCAUCUUUCUGAUACCUAUCAAGGACAAAAAGCUGACCAUGCUCCAUUGCUACAGUUUUAGCAGGCUCUUCAUAUCUGAAUAUCCUUUUGGAUGGAAUAAUUAUUGCUGGGAGUAUAAUCACAAAAAUCAGGACCUCUCCAACAUGCUUCCCCUGUCAGUGGAUACUGGGAAUCAAGUACUUACAGGAGGAGAGUUAAAAAAAUGUUUGGCUUCGUGAGCUUGUUACCCAUAGCUCCAUUCAUAGACAAGUAUCCCAGCAAUACCUAAAUAUUUGAUUCCUUCAGGGCCACUUCACCAGCUGAAAAUUGUGGCCAUUGUUGCCUCUGCCCAGGGUUCGUUUGGGGACUGCUGGGCUCCUCUGCCUGCUUGGCCCAGCGGGCUGCAUUUGGCUCACAGCCCAGCCCAAACCCCAUGCCUGCCAUAACUCCAUGCUCAGCCCACAGCCGGACCAAGCAUGCCAUAAGCAACUUCCUUGUUGGGCACUGGCGUCUAGAUGAAGGGAAUGUGGCAGCACCCAAAAACUCAGAGAUGCCAGCGAUCGUGGAGCCCGAAGUAAUGUUAACAGCUCUUGCUUGGGGAAUCUCGAGGUUCUGGGUUCUUGUCCUGAGAUCAAGAGGAAUGAAGUGGGUGGACACGAGAGAGUGAGUAAGGCCAAGAAGAAUUUGUUAAGCCACCAAAGGAGAGCUCUCAGCUGUGAGAGAGGAUGUAAGAGCAGGUAACCAUCUGUCAGGCUGAGUUCAGCGUUUUUAUGGGCUUACAAGGGGGAAAUGCAUGCUGACUGAUUCAUGGGUGGGCUUUGGAAAAAUCACCAUUCAGUUGGUUAAAAGGCAUCAUCCCGAAGGAACUGAUAGAGAGAUGGUAAGAUGGGGAUAGAAGUUCUCACUUCAGUUGUGGACUCUAUCCAGAACCGGCAGCUCAGGUUUCAGGCUUUAAACUGGCUUCGGGUUGAAGAUUGGGUUUUGCCAGGGGCCUAUCCCUGUUUGCCUAGGAAUUUAUCUGUCUUCUGUCACUAUCAAUAUGACCUUUUGAUUCUAGCCACUUAGUAGGUGUGAAGUAGUAUCACGUUGUAGUUUUGAAUUGUAUAUUUCUGAUGAGUAAUGUUCUCAAGCAUCUUUACAUACACUUAUUGGCCAUUUGUAUAUCUUCCUUGGAGAUGUGUCUAUUCAGACUAUUUGCCCAUGUUUUACAUUGGGUUGUCUUUUUAUUAUUGAGUUGCGAAAGUUUUUAUAGAUUAUAGAUACAAGUUAGUCCCUUAUCAGAUAUAUGAUUUACACAUACCUUUCUAGAUGGUGUUCUUGAAGCACAAAAGUUUUUUUGUGGCUCUCAACAAUAUUCUCUUAAAAAAAAUACACUCCAGUCUGGGGCCUGGUCACAGAGCAAGACUCAGUCUCAAAAAAACAAAACAAAAUAAAACAAACAAACAAAAUAACAAGGCUGGGCAUGGUGGCUCAUACCUGUAAUCCCAGCACUUUGGGAGGCUGAGGUGGAUGAAUCACCUGAGGUCGGGAGUUUGAGACUAGUCUGACCAACAUGGAAAACCGGUCUCUACUAAAAAUAUUAGAAAAAAGUUAGCCAGGCAGGGUGGUGCAUGCCUGUAAUCCCAGCCACUCAGGAGGCUAAGGCAGAAGAAUCACUUGAACCUGAGGUCGGAGGUUGCAGCAAGCUAAGGCCCCAUCAUUGCACUCCAACCUGGGCAACAAGAAUGAAACUGUCUCAAAAGAAAGAAAGAAAGAAAGAAUCACCCUUAUAAGGAGGAUGAAGCACAAAAGUUUCGCAUUAAGAAUCCAUUGUCAUAUCCAGGGUUAUAAAAGUGUGCCCAUUUGUUUUCUUCUUAAGCUACUGUUGUGAUAACUUUUACAUUUUGAUGUUAAAUCCAUUUUGAGUUAAUUUUUAUGGAUGUGUGAGGUAAGGAUCCAAUUUAAUUCUUUUCGCUGUAGCUAUCCAGUACCCUUUGUUGAAAACACUAUUCUUUUCCUGUUGGAUAAUCUUGGUAGCCUUGUCAAAAAUCAGUUGGUCAUAGAUGUAUGGGUUUAUUUUAGUACUGGCAGUUCUCUAUAUCUACCCUUGUGCCAGUACUAUGUUGUCUUAAUUACUGCUGCUUUGUAGUUAAUUUUUAAAAUCAAGAAGUGAGUCCUGCUUUGUUCUUCUCUUGCAAGUUUAUUUUGGCUAUUCUAAGUCCCCUUAAAUUUCAUACUAGUUUUAGAAUCAGUUCGUCAUCUUGCACAAAGAACUCAGGUAAUAAUUGUGUUGAACCACAAAGAUAUUCCGCAAGAAGAGCAACCCCAAGGCACAUAAUCGUCAGAUUCAACAAGGUUGAAAUAAAGGAGAAAAUACUAAGGGCAGCCAGAGAGAAACAUGGGGUCACCCACAAAGGGAAGCCCAUCAGACUCACAGCAGAUCUCUCAGAAGAAAUACUACAAGCCAGAAGAGAGUGGGGGCCAAUAUUCAACAUCCUUAAAGAAAAGAACUUUCAACCCAGAAUUUCAUUUCCAGCCAAACUGAGCUUCAUAAGUGAAGGAAAAAUAAAAUCCUUUGCCAACAAGCAAGUACACAGAGAGUUUGUCACCACGAGGCCUGCUUUACAAGAGCUCCUGAAGCAGGCACUACACAUAGAAAGGAACAACCAGUACCAGCUAUCCCAAAAUCACACUAAAUGCUAAAGAGCAUCAACAUAAUGAAGAAUCUAUAACAACUAACGGGCAAAACAGCCAGCUAGCAUCAAAAUGGCAGUAUCAAAUUCACACAUAACAAUAUUAACCCUAAAUGUAAAUGGACUAAAUGCACCAAUCAAAAGACACAGACUGGCAAAUUGGAUAAAAAUCCAAAACCCAUCAGUGUGCUGUAUCCAGGAAACCCAACUCACAUGCAAGGAUGCACAAAGGCUCAAAAUAAAGGGAUGGAGGAAGAUUUACCAAGCAAAUGGAGAGCAAAAAAAAGCAGGAGUUGCAAUUCUCAUCUCUGAUAAAAUAGACUUUAAAGCAACAAAGAUCAAAAGAGACA
RNA transcript from Callithrix jacchus (white-tufted-ear marmoset), 5974 nucleotides. RefSeq lists it as uncharacterized. Lineage: Eukaryota; Metazoa; Chordata; Mammalia; Primates; Cebidae. The record is from RefSeq and is a predicted model, not a curated record.